UACGGAGGAUGCGAGCGUUAUCCGGAUUUAUUGGGUUUAAAGGGUGCGUAGGCGGAACAUUAAGUCAGCGGUAAAAUCGAGGGGCUCAACCCCGUCGUGCCGUUGAAACUGACACCCUUGAGUGAGUGAGAAGUAAGCGGAAUGCGUGGUGUAGCGGUGAAAUGCAUAGAUAUCACGCAGAACGCCGAUUGCGAAGGCAGCAUACCGGCGCCCAACUGACGCUGAGGCACGAAAGCGUGGGUAUCGAACAGG
Molecule: ribosomal RNA, 252 nt
Filed under: uncultured Bacteroidales bacterium
Lineage: Bacteria; Pseudomonadati; Bacteroidota; Bacteroidia; Bacteroidales
Description: partial 16S ribosomal RNA
Rfam family: Bacterial small subunit ribosomal RNA
Source: RNAcentral